RNAcentral lists this ribosomal RNA (1372 nucleotides) under uncultured bacterium. Its description in RNAcentral is "bacterial SSU rRNA". It matches the Rfam family "Bacterial small subunit ribosomal RNA", at positions 28 to 1381 of the family's 1533-position model. The record is from RNAcentral.
GAUGAACGCUGGCGGCGUGCCUAAUACAUGCAAGUCGAGCGAACGGACGAGAAGCUUGCUUCUCUGAUGUUAGCGGCGGACGGGUGAGUAACACGUGGAUAACCUACCUAUAAGACUGGGAUAACUUCGGGAAACCGGAGCUAAUACCGGAUGAUAUUUUGAACCGCAUGGUUCAAAGGUGAAAGACGGUCUUGCUGUCACUUAUAGAUGGACCCGCGCUGCAUUAGCUAGUUGGUAAGGUAACGGCUUACCAAGGCAACGAUGCAUAGCCGACCUGAGAGGGUGAUCGGCCACACUGGAACUGAGACACGGUCCAGACUCCUACGGGAGGCAGCAGUAGGGAAUCUUCCGCAAUGGGCGAAAGCCUGACGGAGCAACGCCGCGUGAGUGAUGAAGGUCUUCGGAUCGUAAAACUCUGUUAUUAGGGAAGAACAUAUGUGUAAGUAACUGUGCACAUCUUGACGGUACCUAAUCAGAAAGCCACGGCUAACUACGUGCCAGCAGCCGCGGUAAUACGUAGGUGGCAAGCGUUAUCCGGAAUUAUUGGGCGUAAAGCGCGCGUAGGCGGUUUUUUAAGUCUGAUGUGAAAGCCCACGGCUCAACCGUGGAGGGUCAUUGGAAACUGGAAAACUUGAGUGCAGAAGAGGAAAGUGGAAUUCCAUGUGUAGCGGUGAAAUGCGCAGAGAUAUGGAGGAACACCAGUGGCGAAGGCGACUUUCUGGUCUGUAACUGACGCUGAUGUGCGAAAGCGUGGGGAUCAAACAGGAUUAGAUACCCUGGUAGUCCACGCCGUAAACGAUGAGUGCUAAGUGUUAGGGGGUUUCCGCCCCUUAGUGCUGCAGCUAACGCAUUAAGCACUCCGCCUGGGGAGUACGACCGCAAGGUUGAAACUCAAAGGAAUUGGCGGGGACCCGCACAAGCGGUGGAGCAUGUGGUUUAAUUCGAAGCAACGCGAAGAACCUUACCAAAUCUUGACAUCCUUUGACAACUCUAGAGAUAGAGCCUUCCCCUUCGGGGGACAAAGUGACAGGUGGUGCAUGGUUGUCGUCAGCUCGUGUCGUGAGAUGUUGGGUUAAGUCCCGCAACGAGCGCAACCCUUAAGCUUAGUUGCCAUCAUUAAGUUGGGCACUCUAAGUUGACUGCCGGUGACAAACCGGAGGAAGGUGGGGAUGACGUCAAAUCAUCAUGCCCCUUAUGAUUUGGGCUACACACGUGCUACAAUGGACAAUACAAAGGGCAGCGAAACCGCGAGGUCAAGCAAAUCCCAUAAAGUUGUUCUCAGUUCGGAUUGUAGUCUGCAACUCGACUACAUGAAGCUGGAAUCGCUAGUAAUCGUAGAUCAGCAUGCUACGGUGAAUACGUUCCCGGGUCU